GAGCGUCUUCUAGUUUCCAUGGGAACCUCGUCCCUGGAGUCCGGGCCGCGCAAGUCUGAGUUGGGGUAGGGUGUUGCUCCUGCGAAGGUGCACUGGAGCUAGGACCGGUCUGCAGACCAUUGAUGGGCAUAGUGGGGCGCUUGAGGGAGCGAGGCCAGUCCUGCCCUGCUUCACGGAACCAUCCCUCCCGUAUUCGUCCGGGCGUCCUGGCGUCCGCGGGCUCCUGGGGCCUCGGCGUUCUGAGGUGCAGGGGCUUGGGUCUGUCCGCGUCGGGCUUGGCUCGCGCCGGCGCAGCGCAACUGCCCCAGCGCCAGGGCUGGUCACCUCCUUCCGAGGGCCUGCGCGCCGACGGCAGGUACUCCUGAAGCGCGGGCCCGGGCGCGG
Molecule: long non-coding RNA, 384 nt
Filed under: Marmota monax (woodchuck)
Lineage: Eukaryota; Metazoa; Chordata; Mammalia; Rodentia; Sciuridae
Source: RNAcentral